UACGUAGGGUGCAAGCGUUACUCGGAAUUACUAGGCGUAAAGCGCGUGUAGGCGGGUUCCUAAGUCUAUCGUGAAAUUUCACAGCUCAACUGUGAAAGGUCGAUAGAUACUGGGAAUCUAGAGUGAGGCAGGGGGAACCGGAAUUCCCGGUGUAGCGGUGAAAUGCGUAGAUAUCGGGAGGAACGCCGAAGGCGAAAGCGGGUUCCUGGGCCUAUACUGACGCUGAGACGCGAAAGCUAGGGGAGCAAACAGG
This 253-nucleotide ribosomal RNA is filed under the name uncultured microorganism. RNAcentral's name for it is "partial 16S ribosomal RNA". It matches the Rfam family "Bacterial small subunit ribosomal RNA", at positions 524 to 776 of the family's 1533-position model. The record is from RNAcentral.